UUUCGUGCAUAUGUCUUCAUUCAUAUACAUCCAUCCCUUUUUGUAAACCAUUGAGAACGAUCUUAAUCUUCCCCCUUUAUUAAAUUAACGUCAUUAUUGUCAAUUCUAAUAAUUUUAUUCAAAGCAGUCAUUUAGCGGCCGGGCUGGUUGCGACUUUUCUCAAUGCUUCCGAGGCUUUCCCUGCAGCAAAGCAGAAAUCUUGCAUCUCUGGCCGGCAACAGACAGAUUCACUUCAACCUUCACACAUUCAACUCGUCCCUGUGUCGUCUCGCGUGGUCUAUGCCCGUCCGUUCUGCGUAGUUCCUUCUCCGCGAGAUGACAGUCCUCAGCCUCUAGCCGGUUCUUCAACUGGACAACUCCUCACCUGCACCCAGAAGGCCUGUUCUUCCCACAAAGAAGCCGAUGAAUGUCGUGACGAAAUGUUCAUGAUAACGGAGGGGGGCACAACUUUCCUCUACCUCUCCAGUGGACGGGCGACUACGGCUUUCGUUUCUUUUUGAAUAAAUUCAAAUGAGAAUCUAGA
Long non-coding RNA from Hyalella azteca, 523 nucleotides. RefSeq lists it as uncharacterized. The record is from RefSeq and is a predicted model, not a curated record. NCBI's taxonomy places the organism in Eukaryota, Metazoa, Arthropoda, Malacostraca, Amphipoda, Hyalellidae. The transcript is spliced from 2 exons.